This is a long non-coding RNA of Monodelphis domestica (gray short-tailed opossum), 1366 nucleotides long. RefSeq lists it as uncharacterized. Lineage: Eukaryota; Metazoa; Chordata; Mammalia; Didelphimorphia; Didelphidae. The record is from RefSeq and is a predicted model, not a curated record.
UGGAGCUUACUUAUGUCAAUUCACUGGUUUCCUUACCUAAGACAAUCCUUGUUUACAAAUAAAACAGAGAACUAACAGGUCUCCACUCUUUCCUUCCUUACAAAAGACAAAAGAUCUGGACAAAAAAAGGGAAGACUGCACCCAUGGCCUCAGUCUGGGGGAGAAGACAGUUUGUAGCUUCAGUCUCGAACCAAACCACUUGAGCUUUAAAUGAAAAAAAAAUUGUUUUGAGGGCUAAAAUGGGAUACAAAUUAACAUUAAAUUUCCAAAGAGGGUACAUUUUGUCCUGGAAAUUGAGGAGCUACACUUGGACCUCAGUAAGAAUGAUCGAUUCUCUCCUUAAAGUAGUAUGUGACAGAAGAUCUACCUGCUUUGGAGAUGAGGAAACUGUCUCUGAUAAGAAGUAUGCUCAGAGUCAUAGCCAGUGCCUCAGAUUUGGGCCAUCUUGACCCUGCAUCCAAUACUCCAUCCACUGGGCCACCUAGAUGCCUACAGUAGAGAUGACUAUCAGCUACCGCCUGAUUGUGGUUGUCCUAGGCGACAUCACCAAUUCACUAUAACAGAAAUUUUCCAAGACUGAGUUUUCUCAGAAUGCCAGCAGUCAGAGAGGGAAGAUAUUGUUUUCAACUGAAACCCUCUAGAUUCUUUCAUGGAAGAAACCAGGAAGUACUGAGGCAUACAAUAAUGGAAAGAUAUUUGGUUGAGCUCCAUAAAAACCUCCCCUUACAUUUGCUUUUUUUUGUUCAACUUCUUAUUGAAUUUAGCAGCUUUUCUUGACUACUUUGAAAAAACAAACUGAUAUUUAACAGCUGCUACAUUUACCCAGCAACUUUACCCAGAUAGACUGUGCUUUUGGCAAGCACAAAACCUCUGCAUCAGCCUGGUGAAAAGUCCAGUGUUAUCAUCAUUUUCCAAAAGGCUGAACCAAUGCAUAAAGAUGAAGUAAAUCAAAUGGAAGUUUGCACAAAAGUGCAUCAUCAAAGUAGGAUUUAAAGCUACAGAAUUUGGGUUCCCAUUGUUAUUUGUCUGGAAAUGUCAUAGAAAGCAGCCAUUUGUUCAAGUCCUUACAACUACUAUCCACAAAACCAAAUCUCCUGACUAAAGAUCUAUGACAGGGUUAAUCACCCAGGAAAUAAUGCCUCCAUUUCCUCAUCUAUUAAGUGAAGGGGUUUGAACUAGAUGAGCUCUAAGGAACCUUUCAUCCCUUUGAUCCUACAAUUCAAAUAUAAACUAAUGAAUCCAUCUUCUGGUGACAAGUAUCUCCGAAGUAAGCCAGGUUGAAUUUCAGAUGUCAGGUUGCUGAGCUAAUACUUGAAGUCUGUUUUGCACUUUGCUGGUAUAACUUUAAUAAAGGAAGGAAAAGCUA